RNAcentral lists this ribosomal RNA (301 nucleotides) under uncultured bacterium. Its description in RNAcentral is "partial 16S ribosomal RNA". It matches the Rfam family "Bacterial small subunit ribosomal RNA", at positions 509 to 807 of the family's 1533-position model. The record is from RNAcentral.
CAGUAGCCGCGGUAAUACAGAGGGUGCGAGCGUUAAUCGGAUUUACUGGGCGUAAAGCGUGCGUAGGCGGCUUCUUAAGUCGGAUGUGAAAUCCCUGAGCUUAACUUAGGAAUUGCAUUCGAUACUGGGAAGCUAGAGUAUGGGAGAGGAUGGUAGAAUUCCAGGUGUAGCGGUGAAAUGCGUAGAGAUCUGGAGUAAUACCGAUGGCGAAGGCAGCCAUCUGGCCUAAUACUGACGCUGAGGUACGAAAGCAUGGGGAGCAAACAGGAUUAGAUACCCGUGUAGUCCCUGUCUCUUAUAC